GAUUCUGUGGUAUGAUCAACACCUGUUUUACUUACCUGCUUUAUGUGGUUGCAUUACCCUUUGCCCUACUGUCCCAAUCGAUAUAUAAAUAGUUUGCCAGUGCUAUUCAGCCAACCUCAAUAACAUAAAUUGUCUGUAAAUUGUCAUACUCCUAUAACUCCACAAAGUAAAUAGUAGUUUUUACUAAUAUCUUAUUUAUAGUACAUCAAGUAAUAUUUCUUUCAAACCCACAUUGGAUAACUUUUUUCACCUAUAGUGGGUCUAAUUUCACCUACCUGGACCUGCAACCAGCAUUUUUGCUUGCUAGAUACAAAUAGACACACUAACUGAUAAUACAUGCAGCUGCCUACAACCCACUUCCUGAUCAAACCAGGUUACAUCACCCCAUCCUGAAAGUGAUAGCAAAUGGUAACGUCAUAAAAAAAACCCUAAUACCUGGGGUUUUUUUUAUUUGUCCAACCUUAAAGUAUCUAGCUACUGACAUUUUUCUUAAUAUAUAUUUUUUUCCAUUAUAUUUUCCCUCCAGUGUUCUAAACUGGGUAAGAGUGGAAAGUUGUUAGGGAAACUAGGGCGAUGAGGAUUGUCACUGUUAGUGGGACUGGGGCUUGGGGAGGAGGGAAGAGUGUGAAGGGAAACUCUUAGAUAUUUUAGGGGAUGAUGCCAGCUGGGAUGUUCCUGGAGCUCACAUUUACAUGGGAGAAGUUUGUCGGUGAGUAUAACUCUGGGAAUAUGAAGGGGACCUUCUAGAUGGUUUAGGGGAUGAUGCCAGCUGGAAUGUUCCUGAAGCUCACAAUGACAUGGAUGAAGUUGGUGAGUAUAACUUUUUAUAUUUGUAAAUAUAUCUAUACAUUAUUGUGUGUGUACUUUAAAUUAAAGUUACUAUAAUGUUUAUAGGUGUUGCUGCCCAUGAGGGAUUGCGCAGUGGAGCACAGUGGCCUUGGAUCUUAUUCAAAAUGUGACAGAGCUGUCCAAGGACGCAUAUGUAAAUCCUGCAGAGGAAAGUGCAGAGGAAGAUGAGGACCAUUUUUUACUCUUCAUUUGGAGCCAGCUGAGAAAGAAUCAGAAGACACAGAGCAGAAGCAAGUGGGCAAUUUGGAAGGCCCUUAGCAGCAGCAAAUAGCAGAUACACAGCUGGCAGGGCCAUUAUGUCAAAGAACUUCCAAAAAAUCUGGACAGAUUUGAAAUAAAUGUUAAAUAUUGUCUUGAAA
Molecule: long non-coding RNA, 1208 nt
Organism: Xenopus tropicalis (tropical clawed frog)
Lineage: Eukaryota; Metazoa; Chordata; Amphibia; Anura; Pipidae
Exons: 2
Source: RefSeq, a predicted model, not a curated record